CUCUUCGAUGUUCUGGGCUGCACGCGCGCUACACUGAUGCGCUCAACGAGUUUUAACCUUGCCUGGAAAGGUUGGGUAAUCUUUUUAAAACGCAUCGUGAUGGGGAUAGAUUAUUGCAAUUAUUAAUCUCCAACGAGGAAUUCCUAGUAAACGCAAGUCAUCAGCUUGCAUUGAUUACGUCCCUGCCCUUUGUACACACCGCCCGUCGCACCUACCGAUUGAAUGGUCCGGUGAAAUCUUGGGAUUUUGUUUUGUUUGCAUUUAUUUGUAUCGAGACGAGAGAACUUGAGUAAACCUUACCAUUUAGAGGAAGGUGAAGUCGUAACA
RNAcentral lists this ribosomal RNA (327 nucleotides) under uncultured eukaryote. RNAcentral describes it as "partial 18S ribosomal RNA". It matches the Rfam family "Eukaryotic small subunit ribosomal RNA", at positions 1470 to 1796 of the family's 1831-position model. The record is from RNAcentral.